AAGGCAUGCUUACAGCUAGCCUAAUCAUCUUAAAACUCCAAAUAUUAUCUCAUGACAGAUGGCUGCUGGAGUCUACAAAGGGCUACUCCAAAUUCUCUUCCCCAUUCCAUAAAGACCACCCCUAUUGAGGACAUUUCCAUCCAAAUGCAUUAUUAUAUAUCCUGUCUUGAAACAGAAGAUUUCAUUUCCUUGCCGCUAUUUGGUGAGUCUUGUGCUGGAAAAGGGCCUAUCACCUACCUUCCUCUGGACCAGCUUUUGCAGAUGAAUUACUCUCUACCAUGGUCUUAGAAGGAGCAGUCAAGAAUGCCUCCCUUCCUUACCAUGCUGGCCUGGACUUUCAUCUAUCACCAAUAAUGAGAGUGGAAUGGAUAACAAAACAGAACAUAAAGAUGUCAGAGAUGUGUCCACCACAUGAAAGUGAUAUCAUUCUUUUCAUAUUAACAUGGCCUUUACUAACAGGACUUCCAGAUGUGC
This 474-nucleotide long non-coding RNA is filed under the name Gallus gallus (chicken). RNAcentral's name for it is "lncRNA (ENSGALG00010011656.1)". The record is from RNAcentral. Lineage: Eukaryota; Metazoa; Chordata; Aves; Galliformes; Phasianidae.